Molecule: long non-coding RNA, 318 nt
Organism: Apis florea (little honeybee)
Lineage: Eukaryota; Metazoa; Arthropoda; Insecta; Hymenoptera; Apidae
Source: RefSeq, a predicted model, not a curated record
AGUUGGUAUAUAACUGUCGAAUAUCGACAAACCUCAAGAUCAAUCGAGAUGUAUCAAUGUAACUUAAUAUAUUAUGUAGUAUACAGGAGUCAUGCGAUGUAACCUAUAUACAUAAAACAUAUAUCGAUUUCAAUUCGUAAUCAAAGAAUACAUUGAAAUGAAUGGCUUCAUGCUGGUGCGACACAUCAUUCAGAUUGAAAAGAAGCCAUGAAAUCAAUUAAAGGAUAUUAAUUGAAGAGCUGAUGGUAUUCGAUGCUAUUUAAACAAAAUUUAUAAAAACUUUGUACGAUAUCGUGUUCUAUAAAAAAUUGUUUUUUU